AUUGAACGCUGGCGGCAGGCCUAACACAUGCAAGUCGAGCGGAUGAAGGGGGCUUGCUCCUGGAUUCAGCGGCGGACGGGUGAGUAAUGCGCAGGAAUCUACCUCGUAGUGGGGGAUAACGUCUCGAAAGGGGCGCUAAUACCGCAUACGUUCUGAGGAAGAAAGCAGGGGGACCUUCGGGCCUUGCGCUAUGAGAUGAGCUUGCGUCCGAUUAGCUAGUUGGUGGGGUAAAGGCUCACCAAGGCGACGAUCCGUAGCGGGUCUGAGAGGACGACCCGCCACACUGGAACUGAGACACGGUCCAGACUCCUACGGGAGGCAGCAGUGGGGAA
RNAcentral lists this ribosomal RNA (332 nucleotides) under uncultured bacterium. Its description in RNAcentral is "bacterial SSU rRNA". It matches the Rfam family "Bacterial small subunit ribosomal RNA", at positions 30 to 361 of the family's 1533-position model. The record is from RNAcentral.